Long non-coding RNA from Herpailurus yagouaroundi (jaguarundi), 344 nucleotides. RefSeq lists it as uncharacterized. The transcript has 3 exons. The record is from RefSeq and is a predicted model, not a curated record. NCBI's taxonomy places the organism in Eukaryota, Metazoa, Chordata, Mammalia, Carnivora, Felidae.
ACCUGACUCCUACGCUGAGCCUCUCCAACUUUGCAGAAAGCGCCCAGUGUAUGCUUUAAACGUGUGAGAAGACUCACUGGCUCUCUUCCCUACGCACCAUUUAAAGACACAUUUUUCAGUUCAAAGAGUUUACGUUUUCAGACACUGAGAAAUUUUAAAUCUGCUUAAGUCUAUGUUAUGCCCAUUAUAAAGCAUCCAGUCUCAUUCUACAAAGAAUUCAAGAAGGCAAGACAUACAUGCAAUAAAAUAACAAAAUGUGAAUAAACAUAAAGCACUUGGAGGAAGGAAAAUAGACUUUUAUCAAGAGAGACAGAGCAUGAAUGGGGGAGGGGCAAAGAGAGAGG